UACGGAGGGUGCAAGCGUUAUCCGGAUUCACUGGGUUUAAAGGGUGCGUAGGAGGGCAGGUAAGUCAGUGGUGAAAUCUCCAAGCUUAACUUGGAAACUGCCGUUGAUACUAUCUGUCUUGAAUAUUGUGGAGGUGAGCGGAAUAUGUCAUGUAGCGGUGAAAUGCUUAGAUAUGACAUAGAACACCAAUUGCGAGGGCAGCUCGCUACACAUAUAUUGACUCUGAGGCACGAAAGCGUGGGGAUCAAACAGG
This 253-nucleotide ribosomal RNA is filed under the name uncultured bacterium. RNAcentral's name for it is "partial 16S ribosomal RNA". It matches the Rfam family "Bacterial small subunit ribosomal RNA", at positions 524 to 776 of the family's 1533-position model. The record is from RNAcentral.